This 549-nucleotide ribosomal RNA is filed under the name Fusarium oxysporum f. sp. ciceris. RNAcentral describes it as "eukaryotic LSU rRNA". The stretch from base 183 to 336 matches the Rfam family "5.8S ribosomal RNA". Lineage: Eukaryota; Fungi; Ascomycota; Sordariomycetes; Hypocreales; Nectriaceae. The record is from RNAcentral.
CUCUCGUAGGUGGAAACUCGGAGUGAUCAUUACCCGAGUUUACAACUCCCAAACCCCGUGUGAACAUACCACUUGUUGCCUCGGCGGAUCAGCCCGCUCCCGGUAAAACGGGACGGCCCGCCAGAGGACCCCUAAACUCUGUUUCUAUAUGUAACUUCUGAGUAAAACCAUAAAUAAAUCAAAACUUUCAACAACGGAUCUCUUGGUUCUGGCAUCGAUGAAGAACGCAGCAAAAUGCGAUAAGUAAUGUGAAUUGCAGAAUUCAGUGAAUCAUCGAAUCUUUGAACGCACAUUGCGCCCGCCAGUAUUCUGGCGGGCAUGCCUGUUCGAGCGUCAUUUCAACCCUCAAGCACAGCUUGGUGUUGGGACUCGCGUUAAUUCGCGUUCCUCAAAUUGAUUGGCGGUCACGUCGAGCUUCCAUAGCGUAGUAGUAAAACCCUCGUUACUGGUAAUCGUCGCGGCCACGCCGUUAAACCCCAACUUCUGAAUGUUGAACUCGGAUCAGGUAGGAAUACCCGCUGAAGCUGCGCAUAUCAUAAAGCGGAGGAA